This 2634-nucleotide ribosomal RNA is filed under the name Selaginella bryopteris. RNAcentral describes it as "bacterial LSU rRNA". It matches the Rfam family "Bacterial large subunit ribosomal RNA", at positions 293 to 2730 of the family's 2925-position model. The record is from RNAcentral. Lineage: Eukaryota; Viridiplantae; Streptophyta; Lycopodiopsida; Selaginellales; Selaginellaceae.
ACGUGUUGCUCUUCCGAUCUCGACAAUGACACGACGAAGGGGCUUGAACAUCUCGCCGUAGACGGUGGAAGCCCGGGGCAUGAAACGGUCUAGCCGGUCGAAUGCAGUAAAGCGCGCAAACCGUGCUUGAACCUUAUUAGACCCAUGGGGACCCACCCUCUCACCCACGAAUCCCCCCAUCGACCGAUAGCGCUCAAGUACCGUGAGGGAAUGGUGGACCGGCCCUACGCAAGGGAGCGACUUCGAGAACUGAACCUCGAUGCUGAUCGAUCAGUCGGGACUGGCCGGGGUGCCAAACCACCCGACCUUCAAAAGCACGGUGGGGACCCGACCCACGGCGUACCUUUUGCAUAAUGGGUCAGCGAGUCGUGGGGAAGCAGCGGCUUAAGCCGGUAGGUGUAGGUUCGACCACGGUGGCUGUGGUCCCGCCGGUCCCCGUCUAACCCGAACCCGAUUGAUCUAGCCAUCCGCAGGUUGAUGGGGGCGUACAGCCCAAUCGUCGGAAGACCGCACCCCGGCAUGUGGCAGAAUGCGGGGAUGACGGGUGGCUAGGGGUGAAAGGCCAACCAAGAUCGGAGAUAGCUGGUUUUCCGCGAAAUCUAUUUAUGUAGAGCGCCGAUGCUACGUUGGCCCGGGGUAGAGCACCGGCGGGGCACGGCUGGCCAUUCCCGAGCGCCACCGUGCCCGUGGCAACACCGAAUACGGGCCGCCUCGCGGAUCCGUCCGUGCAGACAGAGUCUGGGUGCGAAGAUCCGGGCUCGAAAGGGGAAUAGCCCAGAUCGUCCGCUAAGGUCCCGAAGCGAUCACUGCGUGGGGAUACACGAGAGUGAAGGGCGUGAUCCGGCGAUGACCCCCAGCGGUGGGCUUGGAAGCAGCCAUCCCGUAAGAGAAAGCGUACUGGCUCACUGGGAGAGCGGGUCCGACCGAGGAUGAUCGGGGCGGAAGUGAGGAUCACCGAAGCGACGGGACCAACCACGAUCGAGAGCAGAGCCGGCCGCCGUGCCGGCGCGCAUCGAGUAGUGUCCGUAGCGGAACGUUCUGUUCGCCUACCCCCGGAUGACCGGGCGGGUGGAUCGCACAGAAGUGAGAAUGCUGACAUGAGUAAUGAUAAAUGGAGAGUGAAACUCGCAUCGCCAGCAGUUGCCGGGUUUCCGCGUGCAAUGGAACUACGCGGGGUUACUCGGCCCCCGAGAGGCGCCGAUCGGGCCCACGAUGGGGACGCCAACGCCAAGGAGCCAAGCGAGAACGUCGUAUCGACUGCCGCGACCGGAGGGGGUUCGAUCGAUGGGCACGGUGGAGCGGGGAACCGCCCGUUCCCCCUUUCGGCACGGGAUCCGCGGGCAGAGCGGACACUUCGGAAAGGAAGGGGGCCAGUCAUGGUCGAGCAGCACCGGUCACCGCUCCCCGACGAUCGCUAUGCACGGCCGGUGAUCCACAACCCCUGGGCGGCUAUCGGAUCGUCUCCAAACCCAUCGUGGUCCCCGCCCCGGGUGUUGGGGAGCGGGCUCUCCACAUCCCCCCCUCUCACGUAAACCCGGUGUACCGCCCCGACGUAUUCGCCGUAACUGAACCCGACACUGGGUUACUGGUGAAGGACACUGAGGCGCGUGAGAACCAUGCUGAAGGAACUAGGCAAAAUGACCCCGUAACCUCGGGAGAAGGGGGUUCCACGGGAAUGGACCGGAGGGGGGCACGGAACCGGGGGUAGCGACUGUUUAUUAAAAACACAGGACUCUGCGAAGUGCGAACACGACGUAUAGAGUCUGAAACUUGCCCGGUGCCGGAAGGUGAAGAGGAGAGGUUACGCAGCCUCGAAUCGAAUUCCCGGUAAACGGCGGCAGUAACUCUAACUGUCCUAAGGUAGCGAAAUUCAUUGUCGCAUAAGUAGCGACCUGCACGAAUAGUGUAACGACUUCCCCGCUGUCUCCAGCAUAGGCUCAGUGAAACUGAAUUCCCCGUGAAGAUGCGGGGUUCCCGCGGUCAGACGGAAAGACCCUAUGAACCUUUACUGCAGCUUCGCCUUGGCGUUAGCGGCAACAUGUGUAGGAUAGGUGGGAGGCUGUGAAGUGGUAGCGCCAGCUAUCACGGAGCCAACGUUGAAAUACCACCCCGGUGCGUUUGAGGUUCUAACUCUGGUCCGUUAUCCGGAUCGAGGACAGUGUAUGGUGGGUAGUUUGGCUGGGGCGGUCUCCUCCAAAAAGGUAACGGAGGAGUACAAAGGCACCCUCAGCCUGGUCGGCAAUCAGGCAACGAGCGUAAAGGUAGAAGGGUGCUUGACUGCGAGACCGAUGGGUCGAGCAGGCACGAAAGUGGGGCUUAGUGAUCCGGCGGUUCCGAAUGGAAGGGCCGUCGCUCAACGGAUAAAAGUUACUCUAGGAUAACAGGCUGAUCUUCCCCAAGAGUUCACAUCGACGGGAAGGUUUGGCACCUCGAUGUCGGCUGGUCGCAUCCUGGGGCUGAAGAAGGUCCCAAGGGUUUGGCUGUUCGCCAAUUAAAGCGGCACCUGAGCUGGGUUCAGACCGACGUGAGUCAGGUCGGUCCCUACCUUCCGUGGGUGGAGGAGAUUUGAGGGAUUCUCUCCCUAGUACGAGAGGAUUGGGAGGGACGGACCGCUGGUGUUCCUGUUGUCCUGCC